CAGCGGCUAACCAUGGUCCAUAUGCUCAGCUUACCUUGGAAGCCUUUUGGCAAAACAUUUGGAGCAUUAAACUCCCAAGCAAAUCGGCUCUCAGCUAUUUUGAAUCCUUUAAUGAAGCCAAUGUAUCUUGGCAUAUAGAGAACACCAGACCUGAUUCUGCUAAUUUAUGGGAACCUCCCCCGUGGAGUUUUUUAAAGCCAAUUUUGAUGCUGCAAUCCAAUAGAGAGGCUCUGUAGUUAUUUUUCGAGAUCAUAGUGGAACGAUCCUGAUUUGGACUUGCAAACUCUUCCCACACUAGACAGAUCCCUUGAUUCUGGAAGGCUUAGCUUGCAAAGAGGCUCUUAUUGUUGCG
This 352-nucleotide long non-coding RNA is filed under the name Manihot esculenta (cassava). RNAcentral describes it as "long non-coding RNA (MESC_LNC005830)". The record is from RNAcentral. Lineage: Eukaryota; Viridiplantae; Streptophyta; Magnoliopsida; Malpighiales; Euphorbiaceae.